AGAGUUUGAUCAUGGCUCAGGAUGAACGCUAGCUACAGGCUUAACACAUGCAAGUCGAGGGGAAACGAUAUUGGAAGCUUGCUUCCGAUAGGCGUCGACCGGCGCACGGGCGAGUAACGCGUAUCCAACCUGCCCCACCACUUGGGGGAUAACCUUGCGAAAGUAAGACUAAUACCCAAUGAUAUCUCUAGAAGACAUCUGAAAGAGAUUAAAAGAUUUAUCGGUGAUGGAUGGGGAUGCGUCUGAUUAGCUUGUUGGCGGGGUAACGGCCCACCAGGCGACGAUCAGUAGGGGUUCUGAGAGGAAGGUCCCCCACAUUGGAACUGAGACACGGUCCAAACUCCUACGGGAGGCA
This 355-nucleotide ribosomal RNA is filed under the name uncultured bacterium. RNAcentral describes it as "bacterial SSU rRNA". It matches the Rfam family "Bacterial small subunit ribosomal RNA", at positions 8 to 350 of the family's 1533-position model. The record is from RNAcentral.